This 74-nucleotide transfer RNA is filed under the name Cotesia glomerata. Its description in RNAcentral is "tRNA-Val". It matches the Rfam family "tRNA". From Rfam's summary of the family: Transfer RNA (tRNA) molecules are approximately 80 nucleotides in length. Their secondary structure includes four short double-helical elements and three loops (D, anti-codon, and T loops). Lineage: Eukaryota; Metazoa; Arthropoda; Insecta; Hymenoptera; Braconidae. The record is from RNAcentral. RNAcentral also lists the same sequence under 2 other names.
GUUUUCGUGGUGUAGUUGGUUAUCACAUCUGCCUAACACGCAGAAGGUCCUCAGUUCGAACCUGGGCGAAAACA